Molecule: long non-coding RNA, 686 nt
Organism: Thalassophryne amazonica
Lineage: Eukaryota; Metazoa; Chordata; Actinopteri; Batrachoidiformes; Batrachoididae
Exons: 2
Source: RefSeq, a predicted model, not a curated record
GAAAUGUUGAGAAUAAGGUUGAAAUACUAUUUCAAGAAUGAAGUCGAAAUGUUGACAAUAAAGUUGAAAUACUAUUUCAAGAAUGAAGUCGAAAUGUUGACAAUAAAGUUGAAAUACUAUUUCAAGAAUGAAGUCGAAAUGUUGACAAUAAAGUUGAAAUACUAUUUCAAGAAUUAAGUCAAAAUGUCGAAAAUAAAGCUGAAGAACUAUUUCAAGAAUAUAAUGAAAUACUAAUUAGAGAAUAAAGUUGAAAUGUCGAGAAUAAGGUUGAAAUUCUGUUUUGAGAAUAAAGUUGAAAUGUCGAGAAUAAAGCUGAAAAACUAUUUCAAGAAUAUAGUCAAAAUCUUGAGAAUAAAGAUGAAAUACUAAUUAGAGAAUAAAGUUGAAAUGUCGAGAAUAAGGUUGAAAUUCUGUUUUGAGAAUAAAGUUGAAAUGUCGAGAAUAAAGCUGAAAAACUAUUUCAAGAAUAUAGUCAAAAUCUUGAGAAUAAAGAUGAAAUACUAAUUAGAGAAUAAAGUUGAAAUGUCGAGAAUAAGGUUGAAAUUCUGUUUUGAGAAUAAAGUUGAAAUGUCGAGAAUAAAGCUGAAAAACUAUUUCAAGAAUAUAGUCAAAAUGUCGAGAAUAAAGCUGAAAUACUAAUUAGAGAAUAAAGUUGAAAUGUCGAGAAUAAGGUUGAAAUUCUGUUU